UCAUGCCUCUAAAGUUCCGGAACAUGCGUCUGUGGGGCCCAGGCAACCAGUCCAGGAGACUUGGGAAGAUGUUGUAUAACUGGGGGAAGGAGCAGAGUUGGCAGGACUUCGCAUCUUGCUGUGCAGUGAAGAAUGGCUCUGAAUUCAUGAUCCUCCUGUCUCAGCCUUCUGAGUACUAAUGAAUUUUCAAAGAGAGUUCCUGGAGCUGCAGGUGACUGAUUUUGUUUGAACUUUGUAGUGCUGAGAUGGAACUGAGGUCUUGUGCACACUAGGCAAGUACUUCAUCCCUGUCCCAAGUCCCCAGACUCUUAUUGGGGGAUUCUAGGCAGGUGCUCUCACACUGAGCCACACCCCAGCCCCUCACUGGGGGAUUCUAGGCAGGUGCUUUCACACUGAGCCACACCCCCAGCCCCUCACUGGGGGAUUCAAGGCAGGGGCUCCACCACUGAGCCGAUCCGCAGUUCUGUGGUGGUAGUGUUUUCUUUCUUUAAAGUUUUUUCUUUUAUAAAGUAAUAUAACUAAGAAAUAGAAGGGUGAACCACAUGAAGUCAAUAGGAAACGCCCAAAGAUGGAUUGUUCUGGUGGGAUGUCUGAAAAAUAGAAAGUACCUGCUACAUAUGAACGUAUGCUAGGGGCUUUUCAGAGUCUAGGGUGAAUUAAUAUUUAUGGCUGCUAUUCUGAAAUUAAAACUGAAGUAAUUAUAAACCCCACGAGAAAUAAAAUGGUAAAACCAAUAUAUAUAUAUAUAUACAUACAUACGUAUAUGUGUAUUUAAGUUUUAGUUAUGUGUUGUGUGUGUAUCUCUCAGUGUAUGUGCACAUGUGUGCUGAUAUCCAUGCAAGUCAGAGGGGAUGCAGGAUCCUUUGGAGCUGGAAGAUGCAAACUACCUCGUGGGUGAUGGGAACCGAACUCAAGUCCUCUGCAAGAGCAGCGGGUGCUCUUAAUCUCUGGACCAUCACUCCAGCACACUUGCCCCUCACCCUCUGCCAUUUUUUUAAAUUUUUUUUGAGACAUGGUUUCAUGUAUCCUAGGCUGGUUUCAAACUUACUACUUAGCCAAGGAUGAUCUUGAACUCCUGGUCCUCCUGCCUCCACCUCCUAAGUUCUGGGGUUACAGCUAUGUACUACCACUUCCAGGCUCAGCUGUGGUGAUUUUACCCAACAUUUUAAGUUAGAUUUAUUCAUUUUAUUUUUUGUGUGUGUUUUCCUGAGUGUGUGUGUGUGUGUGUGUGUGUGUGUGUGUGUGUGUGCAUGCAUGAUGCCUGUGAAAGUCAGGAAGGGCACUGGAUUUCCUGGAACGGGAGCUAUAGGUGUUGAUGAAACACCAUGUAGGUGCUGGGAAUUGAACCUGGGUCCUCUGCAAGAACACCUGCUCUUAACUGCUCUGCUACCUCUCCAGCCCAGCUGGGCUCUGAGUGCUGCAGGCAACACAACAGAGCUGUGACCAUAGGGGGACCUCCGAGACUCCCAUGCCCAUUAACCCCCAGGAGGGACAGUUCCCACCAUGGGCGGAGAGAGGCCUCCAAGAGUUUCUGUUCACACCCAGGCUCUGGAGCUCAAAAGUAGGAUGGAUGCGACCCCCGGGGCGUGGUCUGACCUUCCGUUUUCCGUAGCACCUCCAGCAGGAAGCUUCCCUCUUCCAGGAUCCGCUCCUCGAUGCUUCUUUUUCCCAUCCCAAAGUUGCGCAGGAUUUGAACCGAGAACCUUCUGAGGACCUUCCAGCGCUCUCCAUUGGAGAAGGCAAUGCCUGGGGAGGGGAAGGAGAAUGGCAAACUCAACAGCCAAUCAGCCCAUCCUGAAAACACAGCUACUGAUUGGAAUCAUCUCUUCCUGAUGGCCUGUCGGAUCUGCAAAAGUCUAGAGGAGAGAGGAGAUGGGGGCAGGCUUACCAUCGCCCUUGGUGAAGUUGAAGAAGACCGGGUAUGAGCCACGGCCACUGAACUCCUCCCCUUUGUCCACGAGAGCCUCCUUCACAGUUUGGUAUCCGCUGAGCACCACCACUCGCCUAGGCCCCAGGUACACGG
Myodes glareolus (Bank vole) is the source of this 2023-nucleotide non-coding RNA. The record is from RefSeq and is a predicted model, not a curated record. NCBI's taxonomy places the organism in Eukaryota, Metazoa, Chordata, Mammalia, Rodentia, Cricetidae.